CCUACGGGAGGCAGCAGUGGGGAAUCUUGCGCAAUGGGCGAAAGCCUGACGCAGCGACGCCGCGUGUGGGAUGAAGGCCUUCGGGUUGUAAACCACUGUCGGGAGGGACGCGGUACCUCCAAAGGAAGCACCGGCUAACUCCGUGCCAGCAGCCGCGGUAAUACGGAGGGUGCGAGCGUUGUCCGGAAUCACUGGGCGUAAAGGGCGCGUAGGCGGCCCGGUAAGUAGGAGGUGAAAUCCUGAGGCUCAACCUCAGGGCUGCCUUCUAAACUGCCAGGCUCGAGCACAGUAGAGGCAGGUGGAAUUCCCGGUGUAGCGGUGGAAUGCGUAGAGAUCGGGAAGAACAUCGGUGGCGAAGGCGGCCUGCUGGGCUGUGCUGACGCUGAGGCGCGACAGCGUGGGGAGCAAACAGGAUUAGAUACCCUUGUAGUC
This 432-nucleotide ribosomal RNA is filed under the name uncultured bacterium. RNAcentral describes it as "partial 16S ribosomal RNA". It matches the Rfam family "Bacterial small subunit ribosomal RNA", at positions 338 to 795 of the family's 1533-position model. The record is from RNAcentral.